Molecule: transfer RNA, 74 nt
Filed under: Candidatus Avelusimicrobium excrementipullorum
Lineage: Bacteria; Pseudomonadati; Elusimicrobiota; Elusimicrobia; Elusimicrobiales; Elusimicrobiaceae
Also listed under: 1 other name
Description: tRNA-Ile
Rfam family: tRNA
About the family: Transfer RNA (tRNA) molecules are approximately 80 nucleotides in length.
Source: RNAcentral
GGGCUCGUAGCUCAGCUGGUUAGAGCGCACGCUUGAUAAGCGUGAGGUCGAAGGUUCAAUUCCUUCCGGGCCCA